GGGGUCCAGUGCGCUGCCUGUCAUUCUCUUGCUGAUGUCCUUCUUCCACGCUGGACUCACUCAAGCGAGACCAAAACCUGUAGUGAAGGUGACUCCAGAUCAGCGUGUGUUCAGAGGAGAGACAGUCACUCUCACAUGUGACAUACAGAGAGCAGGAAACAUUCAGUGGACAUACAGCUGGUUUAAAGAUGGAUACACUUUCUAUCCAUAUCCAUAUCCAACAACAGCAGAGUUCAGUUUCACAUCUGAUGAGUCUUACAGUGGUGAAUACAGCUGUAGAGGAGAGAGAUCAGACUCACAGAGAUCAGACAUCAGUGCUGCUGUUACACUGACUG
Sinocyclocheilus anshuiensis is the source of this 335-nucleotide long non-coding RNA. RefSeq lists it as uncharacterized. The record is from RefSeq and is a predicted model, not a curated record. The transcript is spliced from 3 exons. NCBI's taxonomy places the organism in Eukaryota, Metazoa, Chordata, Actinopteri, Cypriniformes, Cyprinidae.